AUUGAACGCUGGCGGCAUGCUUUACACAUGCAAGUCGAACGGUAACAGGCCGCAAGGUGCUGACGAGUGGCGAACGGGUGAGUAAUGCAUCGGAACGUGCCCAGUCGUGGGGGAUAACUACUCGAAAGAGUAGCUAAUACCGCAUACGAUCUAUGGAUGAAAGCGGGGGACCGUAAGGCCUCGCGCGAUUGGAGCGGCCGAUGUCAGAUUAGGUAGUUGGUGGGGUAAAGGCUCACCAAGCCAACGAUCUGUAGCUGGUCUGAGAGGACGACCAGCCACACGGGGACUGGGAAACGGCCCAGACUCCUACGGGAGGCAGCAGGGGGGAAUUUUGGAAAAGGGGGGAAAGCCUGAUCCAGAAAGGCCGCGGGCAGGAAGAAGGCCUUCGGGUUGUAAACUUCUUUUGUAGGGAACAAAAGGGCUCUGGUUAAACCCCGGGGUUAAGGACGGGACCGAAAAAAAAAGCCCGGGCAAACUACGG
RNAcentral lists this ribosomal RNA (481 nucleotides) under uncultured bacterium. RNAcentral describes it as "partial 16S ribosomal RNA". It matches the Rfam family "Bacterial small subunit ribosomal RNA", at positions 29 to 506 of the family's 1533-position model. The record is from RNAcentral.